Molecule: ribosomal RNA, 497 nt
Filed under: uncultured bacterium
Lineage: Bacteria
Description: partial 16S ribosomal RNA
Rfam family: Bacterial small subunit ribosomal RNA
Source: RNAcentral
GAUGAACGCUGGCGGCGUGCCUAAUACAUGCAAGUCGAGCGAACAGACGAGGAGCUUGCUCCUCUGACGUUAGCGGCGGACGGGUGAGUAACACGUGGAUAACCUACCUAUAAGACUGGGAUAACUUCGGGAAACCGGAGCUAAUACCGGAUAAUAUAUUUAACCGCAUGGUUCAAUAGUGAAAGACGGUUUUGCUGUCACUUAUAGAUGGAUCCGCGCCGCAUUAGCUAGUUGGUAAGGUAACGGCUUACCAAGGCAACGAUGCGUAGCCGACCUGAGAGGGUGAUCGGCCACACUGGAACUGAGACACGGUCCAGACUCCUACGGGAGGAAGCAGUAGGGAAUCUUCCGCAAUGGGCGAAAGCCUGACGGAGCAACGCCGCGUGAGUGAUGAAGGUCUUCGGAUCGUAAAACUCUGUUAUUAGGGAAGACCAAAUGUGUAAGUAACUAUGCACGUAUUGACGGUACCUAAUCAGAAAGCCACGGCUAACUACGUG